CCCUUAGAUGUCCUGGGCCGCACGCGCGCUACACUGAGUGUCUGAGAUACGAGUCUGCCUAGCCGGCGAGGUCUAGGUAAUCGCUGAAAGACACAUCAUCCUUGGGAUAGAUUAUUGCAGAUAUUAAUCUUGAACGAGGAAUUCCUAGUAAGCGCAAGUCAACAGCUUGCGUUGAUUACGUCCCUGCCCUUUGUGCACACCGCCCGUCGCUACUACUGAUUGGAUGUUUAAGCGAGGUUCUCGAACUGCUAGCGACUUAGCUUCGGUGAGGUCGCCGUGUGGGAAGUGAACCUAGCUUUGGUGUCUAGAGGAAGUAAAAGUCGUAUCA
RNAcentral lists this ribosomal RNA (328 nucleotides) under uncultured eukaryote. RNAcentral's name for it is "partial 18S ribosomal RNA". It matches the Rfam family "Eukaryotic small subunit ribosomal RNA", at positions 1470 to 1796 of the family's 1831-position model. The record is from RNAcentral.